UACGGAGGGUGCGAGCGUUGUCCGGAAUCACUGGGCGUAAAGGGUGCGUAGGCGGGUCUUUAAGUCAGGGGUGAAAUCCUGGAGCUCAACUCCAGAACUGCCUUUGAUACUGAGGAUCUUGAGUCCGGGAGAGGUGAGUGGAACCGCGAGUGUAGAGGUGAAAUUCGUAGAUAUUCGCAAGAACACCAGUGGCGAAGGCGGCUCACUGGCCCGGUACUGACGCUGAGGCACGAAAGCGUGGGGAGCAAACAGG
This 253-nucleotide ribosomal RNA is filed under the name uncultured bacterium. RNAcentral describes it as "partial 16S ribosomal RNA". It matches the Rfam family "Bacterial small subunit ribosomal RNA", at positions 524 to 776 of the family's 1533-position model. The record is from RNAcentral.